Molecule: transfer RNA, 77 nt
Filed under: Acholeplasma sp.
Lineage: Bacteria; Bacillati; Mycoplasmatota; Mollicutes; Acholeplasmatales; Acholeplasmataceae
Also listed under: 2 other names
Description: tRNA-Arg
Rfam family: tRNA
About the family: Transfer RNA (tRNA) molecules are approximately 80 nucleotides in length.
Source: RNAcentral
GUCCCCGUAGCUCAGUUGGAUAGAGCAACAGCCUUCUAAGCUGUGGGUCUGGCGUUCGAGUCGCCACGGGGACGCCA